GCUGGGCACAGUGGCGCAUGCCUGUAGUCCCAGCUACUCAGGAGGCUGAAACUGGAGGAUCGUUUGAGUCCAGGAGUUCUGGGCUAUCCCAAUUGGGUGUCCACACUAAGUUCGGCAUCAAUAUGGUGGCCUCCUUGGAGCGAGGUGCCACUAGGUUGCCCAAGGAGGGGUGAACUGGCCCAGGUCAGAAACAGAGCGGGGUAAAACUCCUGUGCUGAUCAGCAGUGGGAUCAUGCUUGUGAAUAGCUACUGUACUCCAGCCUGGGCAACAUAGCAAGACCCCUUCGCUU
Molecule: unclassified non-coding RNA, 290 nt
Organism: Callithrix jacchus (white-tufted-ear marmoset)
Lineage: Eukaryota; Metazoa; Chordata; Mammalia; Primates; Cebidae
Rfam family: Metazoan signal recognition particle RNA
About the family: The signal recognition particle (SRP) is a universally conserved ribonucleoprotein. It is involved in the co-translational targeting of proteins to membranes. The eukaryotic SRP consists of a 300-nucleotide 7S RNA and six proteins: SRPs 72, 68, 54, 19, 14, and 9.
Source: Ensembl